RNAcentral lists this ribosomal RNA (468 nucleotides) under uncultured bacterium. RNAcentral's name for it is "partial 16S ribosomal RNA". It matches the Rfam family "Bacterial small subunit ribosomal RNA", at positions 28 to 507 of the family's 1533-position model. The record is from RNAcentral.
GACGAACGCUGGCGGCGUGCUUAACACAUGCAAGUCGAACGGAAAGGCCCUGCUUUGCUGGGGUGCUCUAGUGGCGAACGGGUGAGUAACACGUUAGUAACCUGCCCUUGACUUUGGGAUAACUUCAGGAAACUGGGGCUAAUACCGGAUAGGAUCUCUCGCUGCAUGGUGGGGGUUGGAAAGUUUCGGCGGUUGGUGAUGGAUUCGCGGCUGAUCAGCUUGUUGGUGGGGUAGUGGCUUACCAAGGCUUUGACGGGUAGCCGGCCUGAGAGGGUGACCGGCGACAUUGGGACUGAGAUACGGCCCAGACUGCUACGGGAGGCAGCAGUGGGGAAUAUUGCAGAAUGGGCGGAAGCCUGAUGCAGAAACGCCGCGUGCGGGAUGACGGCCUUCGGGUUGUAAACCGCUUUCGCCUGUGACGAAGCGUGAGUGACGGUAAUGGGUAAAGAAGCAACGGCUAACUACGUG